RNAcentral lists this long non-coding RNA (441 nucleotides) under Mytilus galloprovincialis (Mediterranean mussel). Lineage: Eukaryota; Metazoa; Mollusca; Bivalvia; Mytilida; Mytilidae. The record is from RNAcentral.
GUUCGGUAAACAGGAAGUUGUCGAGUGAUGAAUCUGAAAACGCAUCACACGGUAUAGCUGACUUAUAUAAAUCCUGAAACCAAAUUUCAGAAAUCCUUGUAUUGUAGUUCCUGAGAAAAAUGUGACGAAAAUUUUCAACUUGGCUAUCAUGUGUAAAUCAGACAAGUGUUCGGUAAACAGGAAGUUGUCAAGUGAUGAAUCUGAAAACGCAUCACACGGUAUGGCUGACAUAUAUAAAUGUUGAUACCAAAUUACAGAAAGGGUGGAUGUGUAGUUCCUGAGAAAAAUGUGACGAAAGUUUCAUGGGACGGACUGACUGACGGACUGAUGGACGGACGGACUGAUGGACGGACUGACGGACGGACUGACGGACUGACAGACAGAGGUAAAACAGUAUACCCCCCCUUUUUUAAAGCGGGGGUAUAAUUAGAAUUGUCAGUG